UCGAGGGGCAGCGCGGGUAGCAAUACCUGGCGGCGACCGGCAAACGGGUGCGGAACACGUACAGAACCUACCUUUGUCUGGGGCAUAGCCCGGAGAAAUCCGGAUUAACUCCCCAUAAUAUAGAUGAGUGGCAUCACUUGACUAUUAAAAAUUUAUUGGACAGAGAUGGCUGUGCGUCCCAUUAGCUAGUUGGUAGGGUAACGGCCUACCAAGGCAACGAUGGGUAGCUGGUGUGAGAGCACGACCAGCCACACGGGCACUGAGACACGGGCCCGACUCCUACGGGAGGCAGCAGUGAGGAAUAUUGGUCAAUGGACGCAAGUCUGAACCAGCCAUGCCGCGUGAAGGAUGAAGGCCUUCUGGGUUGUAAACUUCUUUUACCUGGGAAGAAACCACCUUUUUCUAAGGGUGUUGACGGUACCAGAGGAAUAAGCACCGGCUAACUCCGUGCCAGCAGCCGCGGUAAUACGGAGGGUGCAAGCGUUAUCCGGAUUUACUGGGUUUAAAGGGUGUGUAGGCGGGCUAUUAAGUCAGUGGUGAAAUCUCCGGGCUCAACCUGGAAACUGCCAUUGAUACUAUUAGUCUUGAAUUUUGUUGAGGUAGGCGGAAUAAGUCAUGUAGCGGUGAAAUGCUUAGAUAUGACUUAGAACACCAAUUGCGAAGGCAGCUUGCUAAACAAAUAUUGACGCUGAGGCACGAAAGCGUGGGGAUCAAACAGGA
This 720-nucleotide ribosomal RNA is filed under the name uncultured bacterium. RNAcentral's name for it is "bacterial SSU rRNA". It matches the Rfam family "Bacterial small subunit ribosomal RNA", at positions 62 to 777 of the family's 1533-position model. The record is from RNAcentral.